This is a long non-coding RNA of Salvelinus fontinalis (brook trout), 950 nucleotides long. RefSeq lists it as uncharacterized. The transcript has 3 exons. NCBI's taxonomy places the organism in Eukaryota, Metazoa, Chordata, Actinopteri, Salmoniformes, Salmonidae. The record is from RefSeq and is a predicted model, not a curated record.
CGGCUGGUGCUGGCGUUGCAUUAUGGGAGAUGUAGUUUGGUCCUUUACGGUAUGAAUGGAAUAGAGGCGAUUUCACACGUUGUAACUAGUUUAUGUUGCAGUGUUUUUGUACAUGAGUUGUUGUAUUUUGGUACUGUCAACACUGAAAGCACCAAGCAAUGUAUUGGGGAUGUGAGACAGGAUAUGUGUUUUACCUUUCUUCAUGCUCCUGUGUAGAACAACUUGUCAGAUGGUGCAUUGGAGACUGAUGUGUUCCUCUCCUGUCUUUUCACAAUACUAUUGCAGGUGUGCUCAACCAGGUCAACGAAGAGGAUAUCUAAGGUAGCCUAUCAUAAAGGUGUCCUAGUGACCUGCCCAGGAUGUGAAAAACACCACAUUAUUGCUGACAACUUGGGUUGGUUCUCUGAUCUGAAGGGAAAGAGGAACAUUGAGGAAAUCCUUGCAGCGAAAGGGGAGAAAGUGAAGAGGGUAGAAGAAGAGGCGGCCUUCGAGAUUGUUAUAGAUGAGUCCGGCAAGGAUACAACACAGACUGCUCAAUAUGCAAAGAAACCUUCACCAGAGUCUGAUGACUCAGGGAAAUCAUGACUAACGCUCUGUGGGUGUGUGUGCGCGCAUACAUGCAUUUGUCGAUGGACUGAUCACAACAAGGACACCAUUCUCUAUGAGGGAGAAAUAGCUAUUACUAAGUAAAUGCAACACUUCUUUUGAUAUUUCUAUCUCCAUAUUGUUUUCAUAAGAUGUUGAUCAUUUUUUAUCACACUAUUUUAUACCAACUGAACACUGCUGCCAGAAUAUUCAUUGGGUUUACACCAAUCUUACUACUACUGCACUGAUCACAAUCAAACAGAAAAGGCUGAUGCUUGCAAUUCAUUUUUAUUGUAAAGUUGCAUGAUAUAAAGCAGGAAGAAUUAACAUCCAAAAGCCCAUUUAGGGCCAUGGCAAACUGUCUA